AUGUAAAUUACCUUUAUUAAGAGUGAAUCAGGUUGUCGAUUAAUGCCAGGAAUUUACUUGGUGACCCCAACUAUUUACAUGUGAAACCUGCCUAUCUAGUGAUGAGACUAUGAAUCUCCUCGGAAGCAAGAUAUUGAGUUGGGGGAAAGGUGUGGUUGACCGAGACAGUCUUCUUCCACUGCAAUAGCCAGACGAGAUUGGUGCUGUUCGGCGCAUGCAGUUUUGAGUUUUAACUGUCAACUGUUGCUUGUGACAUCUUUGAUACAGUGUGCCAAAUCCAUCUUAACCGCAUGCUGGUCACUGUGGAAUUGCUGCAGCCAUUGCCAUGUUGCAUAUGAUAUUUUCGAAGGUAUCCCCAUGCUGCUGCGGCAUUUGUGCAAGAAAAGGAUAAAGGCCAUAAUGGCAAACAAGCUGACAGCCUUUCAUCACCUAAAAUUGACACUGCAAUGGUGUAAGUAAUUGGUGAAGGUUUUGUACUCUUGGUUCUCACCAAGAACUGCAACUCCAGCAGAACGUUUAUUCAUGUGAAGUAAUAAGGCCACGGUGAAAUGCAACUCUGCAAGAAGUACACUAGCUUAGCUAACAUGUUCUUAUUAGUAGCUUAACUGACUUGAAAACGUUUCAGAAUUGGAGUGCU
This is a long non-coding RNA of Triticum dicoccoides, 637 nucleotides long. RefSeq lists it as uncharacterized. Lineage: Eukaryota; Viridiplantae; Streptophyta; Magnoliopsida; Poales; Poaceae. The record is from RefSeq and is a predicted model, not a curated record. The transcript is spliced from 4 exons.